CUGCACAUAUUUUCCAUCCAUCUUGCUGCAGUCCCCAUAAGGCGGCCGGCUCUGGGUGAGUCAGGGUAGCAGAGCCCUUUCCUCCAGUCUUACAGGGGUGGAAGUCCGCAUGUGUGCAACGCUCGCGGGGUUUGGCUGUUGCAGGCAGGAGCUGGGAGGAGGCAGCAGCAGCGGCGGCGGCAGGAGCAGCGGCGGCGGCAGCAGCUGGGAGGAGGUGGUGACGGUGGCAACGGCAGCGUCGGGGACGAUGGCGCGACUGGUGGCAGUGUGCAGGGACGGGGAGGAGGAGUUCCCCUUCGAGAGGAGGCAGAUCCCCCUCUACAUAGACGACACCCUGACGGUGAGCGAGCGGGCUGAGCGGGCCGGGCCGGGAUGGGCCCGCUGCUCCCCGGCCUGGCAGCUGUUUCCCCUCCCCCAGGCCGAGCGCUGCGCACUGGAGAAAGAGUGUGUUGCAACUCCUAGGCGAGGCCGCCUCUCCGAUGGGCC
This 486-nucleotide small RNA is filed under the name Mus musculus (house mouse). Its description in RNAcentral is "Ggnbp2 opposite strand lncRNA". The record is from RNAcentral. Lineage: Eukaryota; Metazoa; Chordata; Mammalia; Rodentia; Muridae.